RNAcentral lists this ribosomal RNA (460 nucleotides) under uncultured bacterium. RNAcentral's name for it is "partial 16S ribosomal RNA". It matches the Rfam family "Bacterial small subunit ribosomal RNA", at positions 338 to 795 of the family's 1533-position model. The record is from RNAcentral.
CCUACGGGGGGCAGCAGUGAGGAAUAUUGGUCAAUGGACGAGAGUCUGAACCAGCCAAGUAGCGUGAAGGAUGACUGCCCUAUGGGUUGUAAACUUCUUUUAUAUGGGAAUAAAAUGUUCCACGUGUGGGAUUUUGUAUGUACCAUAUUAAUAAGGAUCGGCUAAAUCCGUGCCAGCAGCCGCGGUAAUACGGAGGAUCCGAGCGUUAUCCGGAUUUAUUGGGUUUAAAGGGAGCGUAGGUGGAUUGUUAAGUCAGUUGUGAAAGUUUGCGGCUCAACCGUAAAAUUGCAGUUGAAACUGGCAGUCUUGAGUACAGGAGAGGUGGGCGGAAUUCGGGGUGUAGCGGUGAAAUGCUUAGAUAUCACGAAGAACUCCGAGUGCGAAGGCAGUUCACUGGACUGCAACUGACACUGAGGCUCGAAAGUGUGGGUAUCAAACAGGAUUAGAUACCCGGGUAGUC